RNAcentral lists this long non-coding RNA (1531 nucleotides) under Sus scrofa (pig). RNAcentral describes it as "lncRNA (ENSSSCG00000043202.2, ENSSSCG00045022180.1)". The record is from RNAcentral. Lineage: Eukaryota; Metazoa; Chordata; Mammalia; Artiodactyla; Suidae.
ACACAGGCUGCCAUUAGCUCUGGCAGAAACCAUCACACAGACUUGCCGCCUUUGAGAGCUACAAAGAUGAGCACAGAGAUGAAACAGAAAGCAGUUUCCACUGGGCAGCACAAGGAUGGGAGCGGAGGCUGAAGAGCCGCAGCUGCCGAGUCAAGUCAGGCAGGCGGACUUCCGCUUAAGGAAGGUCUCGAGUUGGGCAGUGCCAAGACCUCAGCUCUACUCCAGCGCCAUCGGUGAAGGGGGACCCCCAGUCCGCUCUCCCUCCUGCCACCACGAGACCCUUUGCCCUUUUCUCUGCCUGCCUCCUGCAGCUUGAUCAGACAUCCACCUGAGAACCUUCCAGGAGGUGUGGAGUCCCUUCCCACUCCUGGGCCCAGUGGAGUCCCAGCUUCGACCACUGUCAGGUGCAUGAGGGAGUGACAGUGAUGGUCAGCUGGCAAGAGAGGCACUGGGGUUUCUGGGAGAAACCUCCUUGCAGAGGAAGCUGGAUGGGGCCUGGCUCAGUGGUGGGCCCACCCAGACCCAAUCAUCUUGCAGUGCCCCCAGCACUCGCACAGCAGGUCUUCAGUAUUUGCUGACUGACUCAAUGACUGACAGAUUCCAGGAGCAAAGUGGGAAGGUGGGAUGGAGGAUGCGACUGGGACACAAACCUCCUCAUGGUUUCCUUCCAGGUAACACCAAAGCAAUGGAUUACUGUCUCCCUAGCACCUGCGACAACGUCUGCCACAGACACAACCAACGUUGGGGUCAACCCAGGACUCACAGCCUGAGACGUCCGGCAGCCCAAUUCUCUUGCAUUCUGGAGGUCCCAGGUGACUCACUGUCGUCACUGAAAGCCUUGUGGUCAGUCCCCGCCUCGCUGCUACUCGCCACUGUCGCCGCUGCGCUGCUGGAUGCGCUGGCGGCUCCUGCUCCAGCUACUGAUUUUCUGGCCACCUCCGCUGCCCGUGAGGCUAGAAUACAGCAUUGUCCCCUGACCCGAGUGAUUAUUAGAAUUCCAUUUUAAGCUCAUCAAAGUAGGCAUGCACUUUCAGAUUCAGACACGUUUUCUUUUCAAGGAAGGUGGAGCAAGUUCCCCAGGGAGAGGCCUGAGGAUGCCGCCCCCUGCUGAAGGCCGAGCUCGCCCUCGCUGUACAGCUGGGCCAGAUGUGUCCUUUGACUACCUGCCACUCCAGCGCCGGGCCCACCUCCCAGAGCCGGCGCAGGCUUUGGUUCAGGAGAGUCGGCUCCUGUUCCGGCAGUACUGCUUGGGCCUCCUCCUCUGCUUUCCAGCCAACACUCCGGUCUCUGCUGUCCCUCUGCCACAUGAAUCCCUGCUGGCCCUCUGCCACAUGAAUCCCUGCUGGCCCUUCAGCUUUAUGCCAUGCCCCCAAAGCCUGCCCUGACCCUCACAUCAGGUUAAUCGCCCUUUCUAUGCACUGGUAGGGUCUGAAGAGUACAGGGCUGUGCCUGUCCUGUUCAUUGUCACAUCCCCAAUGUCACCUUGUGCUGAGCACAUUGAAGUGACUGGAUAAAAACUGUUUUAAAGAGU